UACGGCAGCGGACGUCGCUUUAUGCGGCGGAUGAGGAAAGUCCGAGCAUCACAGAGCAGGGUAGCUGAUAACGUCAGCCGAGGGCGACCUUAGGGAAAGUGCAACAGAAAAAGUACCGCCGCUUUUGCGGUAAGGAUGGAAAGGCGAGGUAAGAGCUCACCGGAGCACAGGAGACUGUGCUGCCAUGUAAACCCUACCCGAUGCAACACCGUUUGGUUCGGUAUAUCAAAAGAAUUGCUGAUUUUUGUCGGUGAUUUUGCAACGCCUGCUCGGCGGAUAUGCUGUUAUAGGUGGCUUGAUCUCUGCGGCGACGCAGAGGGUAGAUAGAUUGUCGUACAAGACAGAACUCGGCUUAUCGGCUUAGUC
RNAcentral lists this RNase P RNA (366 nucleotides) under bovine gut metagenome. RNAcentral describes it as "Bacterial RNase P class A". It matches the Rfam family "Bacterial RNase P class A". Rfam says of the family: Ribonuclease P (RNase P) is a ubiquitous endoribonuclease, found in archaea, bacteria and eukarya as well as chloroplasts and mitochondria. Its best characterised activity is the generation of mature 5'-ends of tRNAs by cleaving the 5'-leader elements of precursor-tRNAs. The record is from RNAcentral.